This 557-nucleotide ribosomal RNA is filed under the name Sphingomonas sp. LDB-B002. RNAcentral describes it as "bacterial SSU rRNA". It matches the Rfam family "Bacterial small subunit ribosomal RNA", at positions 102 to 694 of the family's 1533-position model. Lineage: Bacteria; Pseudomonadati; Pseudomonadota; Alphaproteobacteria; Sphingomonadales; Sphingomonadaceae. The record is from RNAcentral. RNAcentral also lists the same sequence under 26 other names.
ACGGGUGCGUAACGCGUGGGAAUCUGCCCCUUGGUUCGGAAUAACAGUUGGAAACGACUGCUAAUACCGGAUGAUGACGUAAGUCCAAAGAUUUAUCGCCGAGGGAUGAGCCCGCGUAGGAUUAGGUAGUUGGUGUGGUAAAGGCGCACCAAGCCGACGAUCCUUAGCUGGUCUGAGAGGAUGAUCAGCCACACUGGGACUGAGACACGGCCCAGACUCCUACGGGAGGCAGCAGUGGGGAAUAUUGGACAAUGGGCGAAAGCCUGAUCCAGCAAUGCCGCGUGAGUGAUGAAGGCCUUAGGGUUGUAAAGCUCUUUUACCCGGGAUGAUAAUGACAGUACCGGGAGAAUAAGCUCCGGCUAACUCCGUGCCAGCAGCCGCGGUAAUACGGAGGGAGCUAGCGUUAUUCGGAAUUACUGGGCGUAAAGCGCACGUAGGCGGCUUUGUAAGUAAGAGGUGAAAGCCCAGAGCUCAACUCUGGAAUUGCCUUUUAGACUGCAUCGCUUGAAUCAUGGAGAGGUCAGUGGAAUUCCGAGUGUAGAGGUGAAAUUCGUAGA